RNAcentral lists this ribosomal RNA (388 nucleotides) under uncultured eukaryote. Its description in RNAcentral is "partial 18S ribosomal RNA". It matches the Rfam family "Eukaryotic small subunit ribosomal RNA", at positions 592 to 976 of the family's 1831-position model. The record is from RNAcentral.
CAAUAGCGUAUAUUAAAGUUGUUGCAGUUAAAAAGCUCGUAGUUGGAUUUCUGAUCGAGACAUCAGGUCGGGUCCGAGAGGAUCAUGUACUUUGAUUUUGUUUUGAUCAUCCUUGGGGAGAGCAUUUCUGGCAUUCAGUUGUCGGGAUUGGGAUCCUCAUCGUUUACUGUGAAAAAAUUAGAGUGUUCAAAGCAGGCCUCGGCCUCUGAAUACAUUAGCAUGGAAUAAUAAGAUAGGACUUUGGUGGUCUAUUUUGUUGGUUUGCACGCCAAAGUAAUGAUUAAUAGGGAUAGUUGGGGGUAUUCGCAUUCAAUUGUCAGAGGUGAAAUUCUUGGAUUUAUGGAAGACGAACUACUGCGAAAGCAUUUACCAAGGAUGUUUUCAUUAA